This 60-nucleotide transfer RNA is filed under the name Nilaparvata bakeri. RNAcentral's name for it is "tRNA-His". Lineage: Eukaryota; Metazoa; Arthropoda; Insecta; Hemiptera; Delphacidae. The record is from RNAcentral.
UUAAAUUAGUUUAAUAAAAAUUUCAAUUUGUGAUAUUGAAGAUUCAUAAGAAUUUAAUAA